Molecule: unclassified non-coding RNA, 2097 nt
Filed under: Hevea brasiliensis (rubber tree)
Lineage: Eukaryota; Viridiplantae; Streptophyta; Magnoliopsida; Malpighiales; Euphorbiaceae
Source: RNAcentral
UUAUUUUUACCUAUAAUCUCAGGAUUGACAGCCUUUUGCUAUGAUGACUCAUGACGGUGAGGUUUUGAAUGUGCAUGCUGAUAUAAAUAAAUAAUUAUUGUGGAAAAUUUGAGAAAACAAGAUUCUCAUUGAAUUAAUAAAAAGUUACACAGUACAGCUUAUGUACAAGCAGAACAGAAAAAACGGAAUGUGAACUUCUCUUAAUAGUAGCAUAGCCAAUCUGUAUAAUUGUCUCUCACGCCUAACUAGCUUUGGCUCCUUGACUGUUAUUUUGAUCUAAGAAUUGUUCAUAGGUUUUUUGGACAUUGGAAUAAUUGCCUAUUUUUGCACGACGCAUGAUGGUUGUGCUUGAAUUUUGAAAAUUAGAAAAAGUAGUGGCUUCCCUCCAUCCCCCUUGUCCAAGCGGGCUGGAGCAAGUUUAUGAAGGGCUACCUGAUGUUUAAAGAUUUAAUAGGAUUUUGUUGCUAAAUAGGUGGAUUUUUCUUGCUUUGUCCUGUUUUAGGAAAAGAUGAUGCACCAACGCCGAGUAAUUUGUUUUAUCUCUCUUACAGAAUGCUUGUAUAUAAUAUUUACAAGUGUAAGGAUAACAUAUAUUUCCCUUGAAGAAGAAUGGGAUUGUGGAUGGCCGAAGUUAAAUUGGUGGUGUGAAUUUCUAAAAUGAAAUCUUCUAAGGAUUUUGUUCUCGUUGCAGAGCUUAAGGUCACGCACAAGCAUAUAGAUCAUCGCCCCAUUUACAAUCACACUCUUGCAACAAUAUUGGUGGAAUAUGCUUCUGCUGUAUAUAUGUCAGAUUUGACAGAACUGUUUACUUGGACAUGCUCAAGAUGUAAUGAUUUGACUGAGGGAUUUGAGAUUAUAGAGCUGAUUAUUGACAUUCAGCACUGCUUACAGGCAUUUGUUGGUGUGGCAAAGAAUCUUAAUGCUGUAGUUAUUGCAUUUCGAGGAACUCAGGAACACAGCAUACAGAAUUGGAUUGAAGACUUAUUCUGGAAACAGCUUGAUCUAAAUUAUCCUGGCAUGCCUGAUGCAAUGGUGCAUCAUGGAUUUUAUUCUGCUUAUCAUAACACAACAUUACGCCCUGGAAUUCUAAAUGCAGUCAAAAGAGCAAAGGAGUAUUAUGGAGAUCUUGACAUCAUGGUGACAGGGCAUUCAAUGGGAGGGGCUAUGGCUGCCUUUUGUGGACUUGAUCUAACUGUUAACCACAAAGCCAAAAAUGUGAUGGUUAUGACAUUUGGACAGCCUCGUAUUGGAAAUGCAGAUUUUGUAUCUUAUUAUAGCCGACUUGUGCCAAAUACAAUCCGAGUAACAAAUGGCCAUGAUAUUGUGCCUCAUUUGCCUCCAUAUUACAGUUACUUCCCUCAAAAGACGUACCAUCACUUCCCAAGAGAGGUGUGGCUGUAUAACAUUGGAUUAGGAAGUCUGGUCUACAGAGUAGAGAAGGUAUGUGAUGUUACCGGCGAAGAUCCUACCUGCAGCAGGUCAGUAAGCGGGACCAGCAUUUCAGAUCAUUUAAUUUAUUAUGGUAUUGAUUUAAGGGGAAAGGCAUUGAAUUCUUGUGGAAUUGUAAUGGAUUCUCGUGUAAAGGAAUAUGGCAGAACAGAUAUCCAAGGAAAUUUUAAAUUGUCUAGAGAUCCUGCUUCACCUAUUCUUAAACUGAAAACAGACGUGAAGUCUGGAGGCAAUCAUGGUUAGAAUAUUAUUUGGGUCGGGGCAAGAUUUUCACGUUGAUUUUCUCCCCAACCAAGUUAAUCUUCAUUGUCUCUUUGGCACUUUUCCUUAGGAGGUUUGGAUGGAGAAUGUUGUUGUCCAGGGUAGGGAGGAAACGUGUAUAGAGAAAUUGACUUCUGUACAUUUUAAGCCUUGUUAAUAUCAUAUGAAUACAGAUAACCAUAUUGUUUCAACUAUUUUUAGUGAGAUAUUCCACAUAUACCGUUGUAAGUUCAGAAAAUCUGUGAAUUGUUGGAGUGAUCACUUCAUAUGUACUCCUGGACUUGUGGAAACGAUGAGUUAGGUUCUCAAAUUAAUGUAUCUGAUAUAAUUAUGCCCAAUGAACCAAUGUGUUAGAAUUGCAUAUGGGUUUUUUAUGCGAGACUUUUG